This 322-nucleotide ribosomal RNA is filed under the name uncultured eukaryote. RNAcentral describes it as "partial 18S ribosomal RNA". It matches the Rfam family "Eukaryotic small subunit ribosomal RNA", at positions 1470 to 1796 of the family's 1831-position model. The record is from RNAcentral.
CCCUUAGAUGUUCUGGGCCGCACGCGUGCUACACUGAGUGGAUCAGCGGGUCAGGUUGCGCGAAAGCGUUUCCUAAUCUUUAAAUCCGCUCGUGAUGGGGAUUGACGGUUGCAAUUUUCUGUCAUGAACGAGGAAUACCUUGUAAGCGCGGGUCAUCAUCCCGCGCUGAAUACGUCCCUGCCCUUUGUACACACCGCCCGUCGCUCCUACCGAUUGAGUGGUCCGGUGAGGCUUUGGGAUCUGAGCGGAAAGAGCGUUUCGCUGUUUCUGCUCGGAAAACUCAGUCGAACCUUAUCGUUUAGAGGAAGGAGGAGUCGUAACA